This 253-nucleotide ribosomal RNA is filed under the name uncultured bacterium. RNAcentral's name for it is "partial 16S ribosomal RNA". It matches the Rfam family "Bacterial small subunit ribosomal RNA", at positions 524 to 776 of the family's 1533-position model. The record is from RNAcentral.
UACAGAGGGGGCAAGCGUUAUUCGGAAUUAUUGGGCGUAAAGGGCGCGUAGGCGGCCGUGCAAGUGGAAGGUGAAAUCCCUCGGCUCAACCGAGGAACUGCCUUUCAAACUGCAUGGCUUGAGUCCGGGAGAGGUGAGUGGAAUUCCCAGUGUAGCGGUGAAAUGCGUAGAUAUUGGGAGGAACACCAGUGGCGAAGGCGGCUCACUGGACCGGAACUGACGCUGAGGCACGAAAGCGUGGGGAGCAAACGGG